UACGAAGGGGGCUAGCGUUGCUCGGAUUGACUGGGCGUAAAGGGCGCGUAGGCGGAUAGUACAGUCAGGCGUGAAAUUCCUGGGCUCAACCUGGGGGCUGCGUUUGAUACGUAUUGUCUGGAGUUCGGAAGAGGGUCGUGGAAUUCCCAGUGUAGAGGUGAAAUUCGUAGAUAUUGGGAAGAACACCGGUGGCGAAGGCGGCGACCUGGUCCGAUACUGACGCUGAGGCUCGAAAGCGUGGGGAUCAAACAGG
Molecule: ribosomal RNA, 253 nt
Filed under: uncultured bacterium
Lineage: Bacteria
Description: partial 16S ribosomal RNA
Rfam family: Bacterial small subunit ribosomal RNA
Source: RNAcentral